AGUGAACGCUGGCGGUAGGCCUAACACAUGCAAGUCGAACGGCAGCACAGUAAGAGCUUGCUCUUACGGGUGGCGAGUGGCGGACGUGUGAGGAAUACAUCGGAAUCUACUUUUUCGUGGGGGAUAACGUAGGGAAACUUACGCUAAUACCGCAUACGACCUACGGGUGAAAGCAGGGGAUCUUCGGACCUUGCGCGGUUGAAUGAGCCGAUGUCGGAUUAGCUAGUUGGCGGGGUAAAGGCCCACCCAGGCGACGAUCCGUAGCUGGUCUGAGAGGAUGGUCAGCCACACUGGAACUGAGACACGGUCCAGACUCCUACGGGAGGCAGCAGUGGGGAAUAUUGGACAAUGGGCGGAAGCCUGAUCCAGCCAUACUGCGUGGGUGAAGAAGGCCUUCGGGUUGUAAAGCCCUUUUGUUGGGAAAGAAAAGCAGCAGGUUAAUACCCCGCUGUUCUGACGGUACCCAAAGAAUAAGCACCGGCUAACUUCGUG
Molecule: ribosomal RNA, 492 nt
Filed under: uncultured bacterium
Lineage: Bacteria
Description: partial 16S ribosomal RNA
Rfam family: Bacterial small subunit ribosomal RNA
Source: RNAcentral